RNAcentral lists this long non-coding RNA (564 nucleotides) under Homo sapiens (human). RNAcentral describes it as "HSALNT0389058". Lineage: Eukaryota; Metazoa; Chordata; Mammalia; Primates; Hominidae. The record is from RNAcentral.
GACCUGGUCCAGGAUCAAGGAGUCGCUCAGUGCAGGACCGGCCCAGAGUUCACAUCCCUGGCUUGAUCUACAGGCUGGAGUGCAGCGGCAGGAUCAUGGCUCACUACAGCCUCUGCCUCCUGGGCUUAAGCAGUCCUCCUUCAGCCUCCUGUGUAACUGGGACCACAGACACGCACCACCAGGCCCGGGAGCCAGCUGAGGAGGUGUGUCAUGCAACUUGCCCCCCCAGCCCUCCCCUUCUAAGGAACCCCCACACCUGCUCUGUCUUCCUGCUACAGUCUCUGAGAAAAGCCCUUUCAUCUGUCAAGAACUACAAAAGUCAUUCUUUAAGUGCUAAAUAAACAAUGAAACAGACACAAAGUUAAAGUUACCUGAUCCAAAAAGGAGUGAAGCCUAGACCCCAGCCCACUGACUCAGUCUCUAAGACCCCUCACUCAAAUCUUCAAUCAACAGUGGAGAUGGCUGUGAGCUCUUCUGAUUCCAGAUGACAAUACUCCUCCCUUUAAUUCCUUGAUAUGUUUAAUUAUCCUGUGAGCAGAACCAGAAGGGACACUCUCACAGCCU